This 164-nucleotide ribosomal RNA is filed under the name uncultured bacterium. RNAcentral's name for it is "partial 16S ribosomal RNA". It matches the Rfam family "Bacterial small subunit ribosomal RNA", at positions 355 to 511 of the family's 1533-position model. The record is from RNAcentral.
UAGGGAAUCUUCCACAAUGGGCGCAAGCCUGAUGGAGCAACACCGCGUGAGUGAAGAAGGGUUUCGGCUCGUAAAGCUCUGUUGUUAAAGAAGAACACGUAUGAGAGUAACUGUUCAGGUAUUGACGGUAUUUAACCAGAAAGUCACGGCUAACUACGUACCAG